AGGGUUUGAUUCUGGCUCAGAACGAACGCUGGCGGCAGGCCUUAUACAUGCAAGUCGAGCGCAUCCUUCGGGAUGAGCGGCGGACGGGUGAGUAACGCGUGGGAAUGUGCCCUUCUCUACGGAAUAGCCACUGGAAACGGUGAGUAAUACCGUAUACGCCCUCAGGGGGAAAGAUUUAUCGGAGAAGGAUCAGCCCGCGUUAGAUUAGGUAGUUGGUGGGGUAACGGCCUACCAAGCCUACGAUCUAUAGCUGGUUUUAGAGGAUGAUCAGCCACACUGGGACUGAGACACGGCCCAGACUCCUACGGGAGGCAGCAGUAGGGAAUCUUGGACAAUGGGGGCAACCCUGAUCCAGCCAUGCCGCGUGAGUGAAGAAGGCCCUAGGGUCGUAAAGCUCUUUCGCCUGUGAUGAUAAUGACAGUAGCAGGUAAAGAAACCCCGGCUAACUCCGUGCCAGCAGCCGCGGUAAUAC
This 472-nucleotide ribosomal RNA is filed under the name uncultured bacterium. RNAcentral describes it as "bacterial SSU rRNA". It matches the Rfam family "Bacterial small subunit ribosomal RNA", at positions 8 to 526 of the family's 1533-position model. The record is from RNAcentral.